ACACGUCAUACAAUGGUCGGUACAGAGGGUUGGCCAACCCGCCGAGGGGGAGGCUAAUCCCACAAAGCCGAUCGUAGUCCGGAUCGCAGUCUGCAACUCGACUGCGUGAAGUCGGAAUCGCUAGUAAUCGUGGAUCAGAAUGUCACGGUGAAUACGUUCCCGGGUCUU
Molecule: ribosomal RNA, 168 nt
Filed under: uncultured Rhodocyclaceae bacterium
Lineage: Bacteria; Pseudomonadati; Pseudomonadota; Betaproteobacteria; Rhodocyclales; Rhodocyclaceae
Description: partial 16S ribosomal RNA
Rfam family: Bacterial small subunit ribosomal RNA
Source: RNAcentral